AGAGUUGAUCAUGGCUCAGGAUGAACGCUGGCGGCGUGCUUAACACAUGCAAGUCGAACGAAGCAAUUACGACAGAAUCCUUCGGGAGGAAGAUGUAAUUGACUGAGUGGCGGACGGGUGAGUAACGCGUGGGUAACCUGCCCUAUACAGGGGGAUAACAGUUAGAAAUGACUGCUAAUACCGCAUAACCCGCUAGUAUCGCAUGAUACAGACGGAAAAGAUUUAUUGGUAUAGGAUGGGCCCGCGUCUGAUUAGCUAGUUGGUAAGGUAACGGCUUACCAAGGCGACGAUCAGUAGCCGGCUUGAGAGAGUGAACGGCCACAUUGGGACUGAGACACGGCCCAAACUCCUACGGGAGGCAGCAGUGGGGAAUAUUGCACAAUGGGGGAAACCCUGAUGCAGCGACGCCGCGUGAGUGAAGAAGUAUUUCGGUAUGUAAAGCUCUAUCAGCAGGGAAGAAAAUGACGGUACCUGACUAAGAAGCCCCGGCUAACUACGUGCCAGCAGCCGCGGUAAUACGUAGGGGGCAAGCGUUAUCCGGAUUUACUGGGUGUAAAGGGUGCGUAGGUGGCAUGGUAAGUCAGAUGUGAAAACCCGGGGCUCAACCCCGAGGACUGCAUUUGAAACUAUCAAGCUAGAGUGCAGGAGAGGUAAGUGGAAUUCCUAGUGUAGCGGUGAAAUGCGUAGAUGUUAGGAGGAACACCAGUGGCGAAGGCGGCUUACUGGACUGUAACUGACACUGAGGCACGAAAGCGUGGGGAGCAAACAGGAUUAGAUACCCUGGUAGUCCACGCCGUAAACGCUCAUACUAGGUGUCGGGGUCGUMGAKACUUCGGUGCCGCAGCUAACGCAAUAAGUAWUCCCACC
This 867-nucleotide ribosomal RNA is filed under the name uncultured Lachnospiraceae bacterium. Its description in RNAcentral is "bacterial SSU rRNA". It matches the Rfam family "Bacterial small subunit ribosomal RNA", at positions 9 to 873 of the family's 1533-position model. The record is from RNAcentral. Lineage: Bacteria; Bacillati; Bacillota; Clostridia; Lachnospirales; Lachnospiraceae.